AUUGAACGCUGGCGGCAGGCCUAACACAUGCAAGUCGAGCGGACGAAGGGAGCUUGCUCCUGGAUUCAGCGGCGGACGGGCGAGUAAUGCCUAGGAAUCUGCCCGGUAGUGGGGGAUAACGUCCGGAAACGGGCGCUAAUACCGCAUACGUCCUGAGGGAGAAAGUGGGGGAUCUUCGGACCUCACGCUAUCAGAUGAGCCUAGGUCGGAUUAGCUAGUUGGUGGGGUAAAGGCCUACCAAGGCGACGAUCCGUAACUGGUCUGAGAGGAUGAUCAGUCACACUGGAACUGAGACACGGUCCAGACUCCUACGGGAGGCAGCAGUGGGGAAUAUUGGACAAUGGGCGAAAGCCUGAUCCAGCCAUGCCGCGUGUGUGAAGAAGGUCUUCGGAUUGUAAAGCACUUUAAGUUGGGAGGAAGGGCAGUAAGUUAAUACCUUGCUGUUUUGACGUUACCAACAGAAUAAGCACCGGCUAACUUCGUG
This 484-nucleotide ribosomal RNA is filed under the name uncultured bacterium. Its description in RNAcentral is "partial 16S ribosomal RNA". It matches the Rfam family "Bacterial small subunit ribosomal RNA", at positions 30 to 507 of the family's 1533-position model. The record is from RNAcentral.